Molecule: non-coding RNA, 286 nt
Organism: Oleiphilus sp. HI0069
Lineage: Bacteria; Pseudomonadati; Pseudomonadota; Gammaproteobacteria; Oceanospirillales; Oleiphilaceae
Source: Rfam
CUUCUUCAACUUGCUGUGGACAAAUAAAGUGAAUAUGAGCAUCAAUGCCGCCAGCAGUAAGGAUAGAGCCUUCACCCGCGAGUACAUCUGUGCCAGGGCCAAUCGCAAUAUCAACACCGUCCUGAACAUCCGGGUUUCCGGCUUUGCCAACACCGACGAUACGACCGUCUUUGACACCAACAUCACCUUUAACGAUUCCCCAGUGAUCAAGAACCAAAGCGUUGGUAAUCACUAGGUCGACAGUAUCGGCACAUGAGCGCUGACUUUGCCCCAUGCCAUCUCGAAU